GGUUAAGCGACUAAGCGUACACGGUGGAUGCCCUGGCAGUCAGAGGCGAUGAAGGGCGUGCUAAUCUGCGAUAAGCGCCGGUAAGGUGAUAUGAACCGUUAUAACCGGCGAUACCCGAAUGGGGAAACCCAGUGUGACUCGUCACACUAUCAUUAACUGAAUCCAUAGGUUAAUGAGGCGAACCGGGGGAACUGAAACAUCUAAGUACCCCGAGGAAAAGAAAUCAACCGAGAUUCCCCCAGUAGCGGCGAGCGAACGGGGAGGAGCCCAGAGCCUGAAUCAGCAUGUGUGUUAGUGGAAGCGUCUGGAAAGGCGCGCGAUACAGGGUGACAGCCCCGUACACAAAAGCGCAUGUGCUGUGAGCUCGAUGAGUAGGGCGGGACACGUGGUAUCCUGUCUGAAUAUGGGGGGACCAUCCUCCAAGGCUAAAUACUCCUGACUGACCGAUAGUGAACCAGUACCGUGAGGGAAAGGCGAAAAGAACCCCGGCGAGGGGAGUGAAAAAGAACCUGAAACCGUGUACGUACAAGCAGUGGGAGCACAGGUUUACCUGUGUGACUGCGUACCUUUUGUAUAAUGGGUCAGCGACUUAUAUUCUGUAGCAAGGUUAACCGAAUAGGGGAGCCGUAGGGAAACCGAGUCUUAACCGGGCGUUAAGUUGCAGGGUAUAGACCCGAAACCCGGUGAUCUAGCCAUGGGCAGGUUGAAGGUUGGGUAACACUAACUGGAGGACCGAACCGACUAAUGUUGAAAAAUUAGCGGAUGACCUGUGGCUGGGGGUGAAAGGCCAAUCAAACCGGGAGAUAGCUGGUUCUCCCCGAAAGCUAUUUAGGUAGCGCCUCGUGAAUUCAUCUCCGGGGGUAGAGCACUGUUUCGGCUAGGGGGCCAUCCCGGCUUACCAACCCGAUGCAAACUGCGAAUACCGGAGAAUGUUAUCACGGGAGACACACGGCGGGUGCUAACGUCCGUCGUGAAGAGGGAAACAACCCAGACCGCCAGCUAAGGUCCCAAAGUCAUGGUUAAGUGGGAAACGAUGUGGGAAGGCCCAGACAGCCAGGAUGUUGGCUUAGAAGCAGCCAUCAUUUAAAGAAAGCGUAAUAGCUCACUGGUCGAGUCGGCCUGCGCGGAAGAUGUAACGGGGCUAAACCAUGCACCGAAGCUGCGGCAGCGACACUGUGUGUUGUUGGGUAGGGGAGCGUUCUGUAAGCCUGUGAAGGUGUGUCGUGAGGCAUGCUGGAGGUAUCAGAAGUGCGAAUGCUGACAUAAGUAACGAUAAAGCGGGUGAAAAGCCCGCUCGCCGGAAGACCAAGGGUUCCUGUCCAACGUUAAUCGGGGCAGGGUGAGUCGACCCCUAAGGCGAGGCCGAAAGGCGUAGUCGAUGGGAAACAGGUUAAUAUUCCUGUACUUGGUGUUACUGCGAAGGGGGGACGGAGAAGGCUAUGUUGGCCGGGCGACGGUUGUCCCGGUUUAAGCGUGUAGGUGUGUGUUCCAGGUAAAUCCGGUUCACUUUAACACUGAGGCGUGAUGACGAGGCACUACGGUGCUGAAGCAACAAAUGCCCUGCUUCCAGGAAAAGCCUCUAAGCAUCAGGUAACAUCAAAUCGUACCCCAAACCGACACAGGUGGUCAGGUAGAGAAUACCAAGGCGCUUGAGAGAACUCGGGUGAAGGAACUAGGCAAAAUGGUGCCGUAACUUCGGGAGAAGGCACGCUGACACGUAGGUGAAGUGAUUUACUCAUGGAGCUGAAGUCAGUCGAAGAUACCAGCUGGCUGCAACUGUUUAUUAAAAACACAGCACUGUGCAAACACGAAAGUGGACGUAUACGGUGUGACGCCUGCCCGGUGCCGGAAGGUUAAUUGAUGGGGUCAGCGCAAGCGAAGCUCCUGAUCGAAGCCCCGGUAAACGGCGGCCGUAACUAUAACGGUCCUAAGGUAGCGAAAUUCCUUGUCGGGUAAGUUCCGACCUGCACGAAUGGCGUAAUGAUGGCCAGGCUGUCUCCACCCGAGACUCAGUGAAAUUGAACUCGCUGUGAAGAUGCAGUGUACCCGCGGCAAGACGGAAAGACCCCGUGAACCUUUACUAUAGCUUGACACUGAACAUUGAGCCUUGAUGUGUAGGAUAGGUGGGAGGCUUUGAAGCGUGGACGCCAGUCUGCGUGGAGCCGACCUUGAAAUACCACCCUUUAAUGUUUGAUGUUCUAACGUGGACCCGUAAUCCGGGUUGCGGACAGUGUCUGGUGGGUAGUUUGACUGGGGCGGUCUCCUCCUAAAGAGUAACGGAGGAGCACGAAGGUUGGCUAAUCCUGGUCGGACAUCAGGAGGUUAGUGCAAUGGCAUAAGCCAGCUUGACUGCGAGCGUGACGGCGCGAGCAGGUGCGAAAGCAGGUCAUAGUGAUCCGGUGGUUCUGAAUGGAAGGGCCAUCGCUCAACGGAUAAAAGGUACUCCGGGGAUAACAGGCUGAUACCGCCCAAGAGUUCAUAUCGACGGCGGUGUUUGGCACCUCGAUGUCGGCUCAUCACAUCCUGGGGCUGAAGUAGGUCCCAAGGGUAUGGCUGUUCGCCAUUUAAAGUGGUACGCGAGCUGGGUUUAGAACGUCGUGAGACAGUUCGGUCCCUAUCUGCCGUGGGCGCUGGAGAACUGAGGGGGGCUGCUCCUAGUACGAGAGGACCGGAGUGGACGCAUCACUGGUGUUCGGGUUGUCAUGCCAAUGGCACUGCCCGGUAGCUAAAUGCGGAAGAGAUAAGUGCUGAAAGCAUCUAAGCACGAAACUUGCCCCGAGAUGAGUUCUCCCUGAGACUUAGAGUCUCCUGAAGGAACGUUGAAGACGACGACGUUGAUAGGCCGGGUGUGUAAGCGCAGCGAUGCGUUGAGCUAACCGGUACUAAUGAACCGUGAGGCUUAACCUU
RNAcentral lists this ribosomal RNA (2907 nucleotides) under Salmonella enterica subsp. enterica serovar Newport. RNAcentral describes it as "23S ribosomal RNA". It matches the Rfam family "Bacterial large subunit ribosomal RNA". The record is from RNAcentral. Lineage: Bacteria; Pseudomonadati; Pseudomonadota; Gammaproteobacteria; Enterobacterales; Enterobacteriaceae.